RNAcentral lists this ribosomal RNA (773 nucleotides) under uncultured Neocallimastigales. Its description in RNAcentral is "partial large subunit ribosomal RNA". It matches the Rfam family "Eukaryotic large subunit ribosomal RNA", at positions 18 to 644 of the family's 3401-position model. The record is from RNAcentral. Lineage: Eukaryota; Fungi; Neocallimastigomycota; Neocallimastigomycetes; Neocallimastigales.
UCAGACGAUGCGUCAUGCAUAUCAAUAAGCGGAGGAAAAGAAACUAACAAGGAUUCCCCUAGUAACGGCGAGUGAAGCGGGAAGAGCUCAAAUUUGAAAUCUUAAAGGGUUUCCCUUUACGAAUUGUAGUUUAAAGAAGUGUUUUCUGUUGAGGUUUUGGUAAAAGUUCUUUGGAAUAGGACAUCAUAGAGGGUGAGAAUCCCGUAUUUGACCUUUACUUUCAACUUUGUGAUACACUUUCAAAGAGUCGGAUUGUUUGGGAAUGCAGUCCAAAAUGGGUGGUAAAUUUCAUCUAAAGCUAGAUAUUGGCGAGAGACCGAUAGCGAACAAGUACCGUGAGGGAAAGAUGAAAAGAACUUUGAAAAGAGAGUUAAACAGUACGUGAAAUUGUCAAAAGGGAAGCGUUUGACACCAGUGUUGUUUUUCUGAAAAUCAAUUAAAGAACUGUUUAUGCUAAGUUGUUUAGACUUUAUCAGCUAACUGUUUAGUUUUGAGCUUUUCUUUAAUGCACUUUUCAGUUAACAAGUCAACAUCAAUUUCUUUUGCUGUAAAAAAGCUUGAGGAAGGUGGCUUAGAUUCGUCUUAAGUGUUUAUAGCCUCUUGCCUAUGCAGUCGGAGAGAUUGAGGUCUGCAGCGUAGAUCCUUCGGGGCUAAAUGCAUUUGUGCUAAGUUAUAGCAUUUUAUAGACAACUUGUUGACUAUGAUUUGUCUCGUAGCUUACUCGCUUAUGUUAUUUUACCUACGCUUAGGAUGUUGAAUCUGUGCGAGACUAC